RNAcentral lists this ribosomal RNA (459 nucleotides) under uncultured bacterium. Its description in RNAcentral is "partial 16S ribosomal RNA". It matches the Rfam family "Bacterial small subunit ribosomal RNA", at positions 338 to 795 of the family's 1533-position model. The record is from RNAcentral.
CCUACGGGAGGCAGCAGUGAGAAAUAUUGGUCAAUGGGCGGAAGCCUGAACCAGCCAAGUCGCGUGAGGGAUUAAGGCCCUGCGGGUCGUAAACCUCUUUUGCCGGGGAGCAGAGGUCCGGACGUGUCCGGGCCGGGAGAGUACCCGGAGAAAAAGCAUCGGCUAACUCCGUGCCAGCAGCCGCGGUAAUACGGAGGAUGCGAGCGUUAUCUGGAUUUAUUGGGUUUAAAGGGUGCGUAGGCGGGCAUUUAAGCCGGCGGUCAAAUGUCGGGGCUCAACCCCGGCCUGCCGUCGGAACUGGGUGCCUUGAGUGGGCGAGAAGUAUGCGGAAUGCGUGGUGUAGCGGUGAAAUGCAUAGAUAUCACGCAGAACCCCGAUUGCGAAGGCAGCAUACCGGCGCCCUACUGACGCUGAGGCACGAAAGUGCGGGUAUCGAACAGGAUUAGAUACCCUUGUGUC